RNAcentral lists this unclassified non-coding RNA (1134 nucleotides) under Polistes fuscatus (common paper wasp). RNAcentral's name for it is "trypsin-4-like, transcript variant X1". The record is from RNAcentral. Lineage: Eukaryota; Metazoa; Arthropoda; Insecta; Hymenoptera; Vespidae.
UAUGUAAAUGUGAAAAAAAUGAUCUAUUAUAUCGUCUCUGUUUCAUCACGAAAGUUUCUUAAUGGAUAAACAAGCGAAUCAAAGUUCUUUCUAACUUUUUUUAGUUCGCAAUUUCUAUAAUAUGGAGUAAAGAAGUAUUGUAUAAUAAUAAUAAUAAGAAGAAACACAUGAAAAAUUAAGUUGUACAAUCUGUGAAACAAACUUCUCGUAUGUAUUACAAUUUUAUACCAUUAAUAAAAAAUGAUUCUCCAACCAUCGAAUAAUAGAAUCGUUGGAGGCGCAUAUAUAAACAUCACGUUCGUUCCAUACAUGCUCUCGCUCAUGUUGAGAGGUCAACACAUAUGUGGUGGUGGUAUUCUUAACGAGAAUUUCGCUAUAACGGCAGCACAUUGUGCCGAAGUAGUUGCUAGACGUAUAAAUGAUUCCACAGUUCGUAGCGGAUCUUCUUAUAGAGACAAAGGUGGUGUCAUUCACAAUGUAGUAAAAGUAAUUAAUCAUAAAAAGUUUGAUUCGAAUACAAACAAUUAUGAUAUCGCGAUCCUAAAGAUACACCCACCUUUUAAAUAUGAUAGUAGUACUCAGCCAUUAAAGAUACCAUUUAAUAAAUCGACUCCUAGUGAUUUAGGCUUUGUAGCUGGUUGGGGAUACUUUUUGAACUUCGACCCGGUUCUCUCCGAACAAUUGCAAUAUGUUCUACUACCAAAAGUAUCGAAAAACAAAUGUAAAGAAGAUUAUUCAGGUAGCUUUGAAAUAACUGAAACUCAAGUAUGUUAUGGAUUGAAUGAGGGAGGACAUGACGCUUGUAGAGGUGAUUCAGGUGGACCAAUGGUUAAUUUGGAUAAUGUUUUAAUCGCUGUGACAUCGUGGGGUGAUGGAUGUGCACACCCAAAUCAGCCGGGUGUUUAUACCGAUGCUAUUCUACUUCGUGAUUGGAUAAAGAAUAACAUUGGAAAACAUUAAGACGGAAAUUAAUAUGACGAAAAUGUUACGAAAAACAAUUAUCUAUUUCGAUAAUGUUAAACAAUAUAUUUAUUGAUACAGAUGUAAGAUGACUUCGACAUUUUGACCAUUCUCGGAAACGACAAAUUUAGCAUCUUUGUAAUGCAAAAGAUUACCCUUUUUUCUCGAAUGCCA